GUCCACGCCGUAAACGAUGUCAACUAGCCGUAGGGAGCAUCUGGCUCUUUGUGGCGCAGCUAACGCGAUAAGUUGACCGCCUGGGGAGUACGGCCGCAAGGCUAAAACUCAAAUGAAUUGACGGGGGCCCGCACAAGCGGUGGAGCAUGUGGUUUAAUUCGAUGCAACGCGAAAAACCUUACCUGCCCUUGACAUGCCAGGAAUCCCUCAGAGAUGAGGGAGUGCCUUCGGGAGCCUGGACACAGGUGCUGCAUGGCUGUCGU
This 263-nucleotide ribosomal RNA is filed under the name uncultured bacterium. RNAcentral's name for it is "partial 16S ribosomal RNA". It matches the Rfam family "Bacterial small subunit ribosomal RNA", at positions 793 to 1055 of the family's 1533-position model. The record is from RNAcentral.